GUAGCGGCGAGUGAGCGGCAAGAGCUCAGAUUUGAAAUCGUGUUUCGGCACGAGUUGUAGAGUGUAGGCGGGAGUCUCUGUGGAGCGCGGUGUCCAAGUCCCUUGGAACAGGGUGCCUGAGAGGGUGAGAGCCCCGUAGGGUGCUGCGCGAAGCUUUUGAGGCCCUGCUGACGAGUCGAGUUGUUUGGGAAUGCAGCUCCAAGCGGGUGGUAAAUUCCAUCUAAGGCUAAAUAUUGGCGAGAGACCGAUAGCGAACAAGUACUGUGAAGGAAAGAUGAAAAGCACUUUGAAAAGAGAGUGAAACAGCACGUGAAAUUGUUGAAAGGGAAGGGUAUUGGGCUCGACAUGGGGGGUGCGCACCGCUGUCUCUUGUAGGCGGCGCUCUGGGCGCCCUCUGGGCCAGCAUCGGUUCCUGCUGCGGGAGAAGGGGCUCCGGAAAGUGGCUCUUCGGAGUGUUAUAGCCGGGGCCAGAUGCCGCGUGUGGGGACCGAGGACUGCGGCUUCUGUCUCGGAUGCUGGCAUAACGGCGCAAUACCGCCCGUCUUGA
RNAcentral lists this ribosomal RNA (547 nucleotides) under uncultured Pichia. RNAcentral's name for it is "eukaryotic LSU rRNA". It matches the Rfam family "Eukaryotic large subunit ribosomal RNA", at positions 83 to 657 of the family's 3401-position model. The record is from RNAcentral. Lineage: Eukaryota; Fungi; Ascomycota; Saccharomycetes; Saccharomycetales; Saccharomycetaceae.